RNAcentral lists this long non-coding RNA (1399 nucleotides) under Diabrotica virgifera virgifera (western corn rootworm). RNAcentral's name for it is "uncharacterized LOC126889396". The record is from RNAcentral. Lineage: Eukaryota; Metazoa; Arthropoda; Insecta; Coleoptera; Chrysomelidae.
CAUUUAUUGCUACCCCGUAAGUGUUUUAUUUGAUGCGCCUAUGUAUCUUUAUAACUCCCUAACGCUUCGACGUGUCGGCGCAGGCCGAACGACCAACGGGGCGGAGAGAUAAGCGAAACUCGUAAUAGUAAAAUCAGUUGGUUAAAGAACAUCCGCUCUGAUACGUGAGCUGCUGCUAUUUGUAGACGAACUCUGGGAAAAUAAUGGACUGAAAUUAAAUAUAUUACAUACCACCAGUAAACUAAACAUCAGGAAACUCAACAGACAAUCUCCAAAGUAACAAAAAAACAAGAAUUCAAGAAAUUAUAACAAAUUAUACCACGUGGUCACGUAUCAGAGAUCCCAGGGUUCGUUUUACAUUCUACAUCAUAUUUCCAUUCCACCCACAAUAUGGAUACUUAGCUGGAUUUUUUUAUGGUUAAAUAUACCUUAUAUAACUAAUUUGGAUACUUAAUUGGAUUUUUUUUUAUGGAUAAAUAAAUGGAUAAACAUACUUUAUAUAACUAAUAGUAGGACAUCAUAAACCAUUACCGACCCGUUUCACCAAAUACAUCCACAGAACCUCUCAACUUCAGACCGCUCCACACAGAUGUUAUAGUGCCCAGAGAUUUCCCAAAUCUAGUGGACCUUCCUAUGAAUAUACCCAGGAGUUGCAAAAGAUAAGAGUUUUUUUUUCUUUAUUUCAAUUCAUACCUAUAAAUAUUUUGGUUUUUACUCUACAGUAAUAAAUUUGUGUAAACUGUUUAUAUGCAUAUAACAGGUACCUAUACUACACUAUAUACAUAGGUUUUUGAAGUAGGAUUUUAAAUAAAGCUAGGUAAUGGUAAAUAAUAAAUAAAUAUUCAAAUAAAAUAAAUUAAUUGAUAAGGGAAAGGGGAAUUAAGACAUAUAUAAAGAUUGUCGAUAGGUUUUAAAUAAUAUUUCUGGAUAAGUCUUUAACCAAACUCAUUUUGUUAGUUUUAUAUAGCUUCCAGCAUCUAUGUUUACUUAGGUAUAGUACUUAGACAUAGAUCUGGUAUUUCGAUUGUUUCGGACACUUAAUAGUUCGAUUGGUGAGUACGUCACCCUUUAAGUCUCUGCUAGAUAAGGUAUUAAACUUUUUUUGUGUAACCAUUAGUUGUUCUAGUAUUAACUAUACCUUAUCUAGUCUAGGAUCAAUUAAUAUUAGUAUACUAACCAUAGUAUAGGAUUUUGCUACGCUUACGGACACUGACCUGGUUUUCGUUAUUGAUAUUUUUUAUAUUGCGCAAUAGCGGUGGUAAUUUACUUGGCGUAACCCUUUGGGUUCUAGAUUGUUAUUUUUCUCAACUCCACCACUAUUGUUUAUCUCACAUGUUUUAUAAGUAUCAUGGAUACAUUGUAAGUUGUGAAAUAGUAUAAAUAUAUUUGUUCUUAGUAA